AGUGCCUACGGGGGGCAGCAGUGAGGAAUAUUGGUCAAUGGUCGGGAGACUGAACCAGCCAAGCCGCGUGAGGGAUGAAGGUACAGAGUAUCGUAAACCUCUUUUGUCAGGGAACAAAGGCGGGGACGCGUCCCCGGAUGAGUGUACCUGAAGAAAAAGCAUCGGCUAACUCCGUGCCAGGAGCCGCGGUAAUACGGAGGAUGCGGGCGUUAUCCGGAUUUAUUGGGUUUAAAGGGGGCGCAGGCGGUCUGGUA
RNAcentral lists this ribosomal RNA (254 nucleotides) under uncultured bacterium. Its description in RNAcentral is "partial 16S ribosomal RNA". It matches the Rfam family "Bacterial small subunit ribosomal RNA", at positions 334 to 585 of the family's 1533-position model. The record is from RNAcentral.